Long non-coding RNA from Sarcophilus harrisii (Tasmanian devil), 270 nucleotides. RefSeq lists it as uncharacterized. The transcript is spliced from 3 exons. NCBI's taxonomy places the organism in Eukaryota, Metazoa, Chordata, Mammalia, Dasyuromorphia, Dasyuridae. The record is from RefSeq and is a predicted model, not a curated record.
CCAUUCUCUUUGCCAAGAAAACCCCAUGGUCCAUGAGAUCACAAAGAGUUGGACAUGACCGAAUGGCAGCAACAACAAACCAUAUGUUGUCAUCACCUUGAAGCUGCAGUGGCCAGGCCAGUCUUAGAGCCCAUGCUCCACCAGGUGGCACCAGAGGACACAAAGUUGUCCACGACUGUGCUGUAGACUAAGCUUUGCUUGUAAGAUUUACCAGUCUUUGAGACCAUUAUCUCACAUGGCCUUUCCCUCUCUGGAUCUUGUGAGAAGUAA